This 254-nucleotide ribosomal RNA is filed under the name uncultured bacterium. RNAcentral's name for it is "partial 16S ribosomal RNA". It matches the Rfam family "Bacterial small subunit ribosomal RNA", at positions 524 to 776 of the family's 1533-position model. The record is from RNAcentral.
GACGAACCGUGCGAACGUUAUUCGGAAUCAUUGGGCCUAAAGGGCGCGUAGGCGGCGGUGUAAGUUGAAAGUGAAAUCCCAUCGGCUCAACCGUGGAAUUGCUCCCAGUACUGCAUCGCUCGAGGGGGAUAGGGGUCUGCGGAACUACCGGUGGAGCGGUGAAAUGUGUUGAUAUCGGUGGGAACGCCAGUGGCGAAAGCGGCAGACUAGACCCUUCCUGACGCUGAUGCGCGAAAGCUAGGGGAGCAAACGGG